CACGUAGGGUCCGAGCGUUGUCCGGAAUUACUGGGCGUAAAGCGUGCGCAGGCGGUUGGGUCAGUCGCUGGUGAAAGCCCCACGCUCACGUGGGAAUGGCCAACGAGACGGCCCGACUGGAGGCAGGGAGAGGCCGGUGGAAUUCCGGGUGUAGUGGUGAAAUGCGUAGAGAGUCCGGAGGAACACCAGAGGCGGAAGGCGGCCGGCUGGACCUGACCUGACGCUGAGGCACGAAGGCGUGGGGAGGCGAACGGG
RNAcentral lists this ribosomal RNA (255 nucleotides) under uncultured bacterium. RNAcentral describes it as "partial 16S ribosomal RNA". It matches the Rfam family "Bacterial small subunit ribosomal RNA", at positions 524 to 776 of the family's 1533-position model. The record is from RNAcentral.